Molecule: unclassified non-coding RNA, 211 nt
Filed under: rhizosphere metagenome
Description: partial ribosomal RNA internal transcribed spacer region
Source: RNAcentral
GUAGGUGAACCUGCGGAAGGAUCAUUACAGAGUAUCAUGCCCUCACGGGUAGAUCUCCACCCUUGAAUAACAUACCUCUGUUGCUUUGGCAGGCCCCAUUUCCAGCGGCCUCGGCUGUUGAGUGCCCGCCAGAGGACCCCAACUCUAAAUUUUAUGUCGUCUGAGUACUAUAUAAUAGUUAAAACUUUCAACAACGGAUCUCUUGGUUCUG